AUUGAACGCUGGCGGCAUGCCUUACACAUGCAAGUCGAACGGUAACAGGUCUUCGGAUGCUGACGAGUGGCGGACGGGUGAGUAAUACAUCGGAACGUGCCCGAUCGUGGGGGAUAACGAAGCGAAAGCUUUGCUAAUACCGCAUACGAUCUACGGAUGAAAGCGGGGGAUCUUCGGACCUCGCGCGGACGGAGCGGCCGAUGGCAGAUUAGGUAGUUGGUGGGAUAAAAGCUUACCAAGCCGACGAUCUGUAGCUGGUCUGAGAGGAUGAUCAGCCACACUGGGACUGAGACACGGCCCAGACUCCUACGGGAGGCAGCAGUGGGGAAUUUUGGACAAUGGGCGCAAGCCUGAUCCAGCCAUGCCGCGUGCAGGAUGAAGGCCUUCGGGUUGUAAACUGCUUUUGUACGGAACGAAAAGGUGCCUUCUAAUAAAGGGCGCUCAUGACGGUACCGUAAGAAUAAGCACCGGCUAACUACGUG
Molecule: ribosomal RNA, 482 nt
Filed under: uncultured bacterium
Lineage: Bacteria
Description: partial 16S ribosomal RNA
Rfam family: Bacterial small subunit ribosomal RNA
Source: RNAcentral